GGGCGCCGCCGCCCUGGCCGCCAUGUGCUCCCAGCUCUGGUUCCUGACCGACAGGCGCAUCCGCGAGGACUACCCGCAGGUGCAGAUCCUGCGCGCCCUCCGGCAGCGCUGCUCCGAGCAGGACGUGCGCUUCCGGGCGGUGCUCAUGGACCAGAUCGCCGUCACCGUCGUCGGCGGCCACCUCGGCCUCCAGUUGAACCAGAAGGCCCUCACCACCUUCCCAGAUGUGGUGCUCGUGCGGGUACCCACACCCUCUGUGCAGUCAGACAGUGACAUCACUGUCCUGAGACACCUGGAGAAACUGGGCUGCCGCCUGGUCAACCGCCCACAGAGUAUCCUAAACUGCAUCAACAAAUUCUGGACAUUCCAAGAACUGGCUGGUCACGGGGUCCCCAUGCCAGACACCUUCUCCUAUGGUGGGCAUGAAGACUUUUCAAAGAUGAUUGAUGAAGCUGAGCCCCUGGGCUACCCGGUCGUGGUGAAGAGCACACGAGGCCACCGGGGAAAAGCUGUUUUUUUGGCAAGAGAUAAGCAUCACCUCUCAGACAUCUGCCAUCUGAUCCGCCAUGAUGUGCCCUACCUGUUCCAGAAGUAUGUGAAGGAGUCCCACGGAAAAGAUAUCCGGGUAGUGGUGGUUGGGGGCCAGGUGAUAGGCUCUAUGCUUCGCUGCUCCACAGACGGACGGAUGCAAAGCAACUGUUCUCUCGGUGGUGUGGGUGUCAUGUGCCCACUGACGGAACAAGGCAAGCAGUUGGCUAUUCAGGUGUCCAACAUCCUGGGCAUGGACUUCUGUGGCAUCGACCUGCUUAUCAUGGACGAUGGUUCCUUUGUGGUGUGUGAGGCAAAUGCUAACGUCGGCUUCCUAGCCUUCGACCAGGCGUGCAAUUUAGAUGUGGGUGGGAUCAUCGCAGACUACACCAUGUCCUUGCUGCCCAACAGGCAGACUGGGAAGAUGGCCGUCCUCCCGGGACUGUCGAGUCCUAGGGAGAAGAACGAGCCCGAUGGCUGUGCUUCAGCUCAGGGAGUUGCCGAGAGCGUCUACAGCAUCAACGGCGGGUCUACCUCUAGUGAGAGUGAGCCUGAACUGGGAGAGAUCCGGGAUUCCUCAGCAAGCACAGCAGGGGCCCCGCCCCCCAUGCUGCCGGAACCUGGCUACAACAUUAACAACAGGAUUGCUUCAGAAUUAAAACUGAAAUGAAUUUCUGCUUUUUGGCAGCACUGAAACCAAAUCCUACUGCUUCCCUAGUCGUUUUGAGUGAAUAAAAUCUGGACUAAUGUGAUAUCGUUUGCACAGAAACUAGAAAUCCCAUCUGGGCACUCAGCAUUCUUUCUAAUGAUGAUUUAAGCAAAUGGCCUAGCUUUGUGGUUUUUACAAAGACUAAUAUAAAAACACUCACCAAGAACAACAUCCCGACUGAUCGAUCUGAGACUGAGGUCUGCUGCCAGCUCUGUGACACCAUGGCUGACUUCAGGACACUGAUCCUGUGCCACUGCUUCUGGCUCCUCACAGUGGAGUCCGUGAACUGGGAAUGGCUCCUGGAAAUACUGUGGUCAGAGAUAACCACGAGACAACUGUGUGCAGACGAGGCGGAAUGUGACUGCAGGAAUGUGUUCUUCGUGAAGUAUGUGUGUGAUGCUUGGAGAAUACACAGUUCAAACACUAUGAGAGGAUCAGUCUCUGCUCCCCAUCAGUCACCAUCUUGACCCUAUUUCUCUGACACUCAGGAUAUGAUGUUUUAGGGAGCUUUCUCAUUAGCAUUUUCAAUGAAGCACUUUGUAGAAAGUGAAAUCGAGCAUUCUCUGACUUCGCUGGUUGGCAGAUGUCCUGCUUUGUCACUGGGGCUUUCUACAAAUUGCUUUGCCACUCUGAAUUGAUAGGCCUUGCUUCGACUAACGCCAGCCCCAGCAGCUUCUUGCACCUUUGCUGCCUUUGGCCUCAGCCAGAAAUGCACUUCAGUGAGCUAGUGGCCACACACUUUGUUUCUUAAGCGUGCACUAGAAUCGAACACCAUGGACUUCCUUUUCAAUGGACUGUUCAUUUGUCAUCUAGCAGCCCCUGGGUUUUUACCAUAGUGAGCUACGGAAAGAUUCUCUCCCCCCACCACCCUGCCUCUCCUGAAACUACUGCUUAGCUGUAGGAGGUUUCCUUGUAUGACUUGGUGUUUGAGUCUAUUGGGUAGAUAGAGCCAUUGGAAACAUGCUCUGAUCCCCUGACAGUCUACUCUUAUCCAGGCUCCAGAGACCUGUCCUUACCCACUUUUCCACACUGGGGAGUCUCAGGUAUCAGGAAUUACUCAUUGCACAUUGGAGAGGGGUGGUGGGGUAAUGUAGAUACGACACCAAGUGCUUUUCGUUUUAAUUCUUCAAGUAGUAGAUAAGAUCCUUCCCUUGGGAGAAAUCAUGGAGAUGGAGUUUUUCAUUUCUGUUCAUGUGAAGUAUGACUGGAAAUGAGCAAGGCUACCUUUUUAACCAAGUCCAUGAGAACACAUGCACUCAGGAGUCCUCAUAAUUGGAGUUAGUUCCUUGGGAGACCAUACUCUUGAACUGUAAUGUUGCAUGUGCCAAGAGCACUUAGAAUUCCUCUUUGGGGUUAUCUUUGAAGCCAUGCAAGGAAAGGGGCCUCACAACUUUAGAGUCAGGCCUUGAUUUUUUUUUUUUUUUUAUCCACCAUCUCCCAUUUGCCCACUAAAGUGGUCCCAAGCUCUGUCCCACAUUUUGUGUAUCAGACUUCUUUUCUAAUGCUCUUUGAAUGUUAAAAAAGAAUGCUAUUCCUCAAAAAAUAGAUCUACCCUUAAAGAUUUACCAAAUCAAAGAAGCUUACAAGUUGACACUUUUCAAAGAGGGUUCUAGAAAUGUUCCAAGUAAGGUCAGCUCCACUAGAAUAAACAUACGUCUCCUCAAGGUGACUACUUUGAAGGUAAUACCACCCAUUUGGGUAUAUAAAUACCUGCACUUAUUCUGCUGUCAAUGUAAAAUGUGUAUAAAGUUAAACUACAUGUUUUUCACCACACAUUUAAAUAGCAAUUGGCUUUCAAAUGUAGUUAAAACCGUAUCUCACCAAGUUACAGUUGUACAGUUGAAAAAUGUUUGGUGCCAUGGAAUGGACACGUCACUCUAUAAAGUUAUAGUUUAAAUGCAGUCCACACAGGGUGCAUGCCACUGAACUGUAACCCUAUAAUGUGUCUUGUACAGUUGAAAAAUGAUCAUCUUUCACUUUUAUGUAGGUUAAGACAUGUACCUUUACCACUCAGGGUGGCUUUAGAAGAUGGACAGUUUUAGGUUUGUUCUCGCUGGACUUGGUCAGAUGCUUUCUGUCCAAACAUCUGAACCAAGUGAUGACCUUCUGGAAGCUGCAUUCCCUCAUUUCCACUGGUUAGUGUUUCCACACUUUAUUUAAAAGGAUGUUAGCAGAGCCCCAUUCUAAGUAGAGCACCUAUGAUUACUUCCAGAUUCCUUUGCCAAAGAGGCUUGUUUCCCAGCUAUUAGUGACCUCUGUAGUCACUGGCAUCAUGGGCUAGAACUUAGCUCAUCUAGAAGCAGAGAAGGCUGAUCACAGUUGGCCCCUCACCCCUCCUCCAGGAAUUACCACACUGUGGCUAGCUGUGGGCUCUGUGAGCCUCAGCAGGUGGUCCGGCUCAACACUUGUCACAGCUGCCCACAAGGCCUGCUGGAAAGAACAUGGGGUAUGAAAUCAGAGCCUUGUUCUGGCUCCCCCUUAAACAUCUGCUCGACCUUGCAUAUUCAGAAACUCUGAGCCUCCAUUUGUCCAUAGAGCAGAUAAAGGGAUGGAAUGGAAUGACUUUUCCUCCUGGAGGUGCUUUGAGGUUGGCCUGAGCUAACAGAUGAGACUGCACUAUGUGGAAGGUGGUGAUAGCACACUUUCUGCAUCUGGUUUUAUAACUUUCUCAUCACCCUUCUCACGAGGGAGUUAAGAAAGAAGCCAUGAACCCUUUAAACAUUGAUAGGGGCCCUAACAAACAAUGCAGCUUCUCAGAAGCCUUACUUCCAGCCAGGAAAACUUAAGACCUGAAAAGGGUGAGGCUCAUAGUGUAUUUAAACAGCCUUGUGGAUGUAUCAUAUAUAACCUGAAACCCUUGACUCUUGUAUACCAACUAACAAAGUCUUCCUUAUGUAACGUAGGUCACAGUGUUUGUAUAUGGUCUUCCCAUUAUCUCGUAGUAGCAUCUUGAAACUGGUCAAAACUUGAAUGCCAAUAGCUCAGUCACUCCGAAUAUAUAUGAUUCUGCACUCGGGAAAAAUGUCUUCAUGCUAUCUGUCUGGUUGGGUAUGGGAUUGCCCAGAUGUGGAUUUGGGACUUUAGAUCUUUAGGAUCUGAGGAAAAAUAUAAGUAGAUUAUAAGCCAUUAGUGUCACAAUUGCAGACUCACUGCUUCCAGCUAAGAGGGUAUUUCAUGACAGUGGGUACAGAGAAAGGCAAGAAGGGAAGGGGAGAAGAUCUGGGAUAGUUUCACAGAAGUUGGAAUCAUUUGGGAUUCUAGCUGGAAGAAGGAAACAAAUGGCUCUUUCUGUGGAUUGUUCUGAUGAAAAAAGUCAUGAACAUGUAUUGAUUAGGGUCUUGGAAGCUCUUCUGUAUAAUGAGAUGCAUGGAUUUCCGACCUCCUGAAGAAGUGGGAGAGAUGUGCUUCAUCCCUGCGUGAAGUCCUAAGGAGCGUCUUGAGAACGCUGAAUGUAAGUAAAUCUGGGGAAGAUCGAAGAAGCUAGCUGGGCGGUCCCAAGACCACCCAAGUAAUAGCUGAACCUCCCAGAAGUUAAGCAGACCAGAACACCACGUGCAGGCAAAGCCCAGAGCCAUAGCUUUCUGAGGUGAAUUUAGGGACAGUGAAUCCAGUGUCGAUCAAACAGGUCACUUCAGCUUAGUAUUUUCCUUUGCACCUGGAGGUGAGCCUUCCGUUUGCUGUUAGCCUGUGCAGCUGUAGCUGCAGAUGUUUUGGGAAGGGCCCUGAUAACAGCCAUCUUUGUCACUGCCCCUGAAUUUAAUAUUCUUAAAAUAGGGUUGUAGCCCAGUACAAAAUCCUGUGCUGUUUUUGACUGUGCCUCUGAUCAGUACAGAUUGUUGCUUUUAAAUGAUUUUACCGGGAAGACUCCUUCUCAGGGAUAUAUUCUAAUCCUUUCCAAAGAUGAUGACUCCAUUCCAAGUCUGUGGCUGGUUUCUGCAGCCCUCCCUCCUAAAGCUCAUGCAGGUGAUUGUGAAAACUUUCUUUUUCAAAGCCUUCAGUUGCCUUCCCCAGGUGCAGUUUCUGUGCCAGCAUGCAGCACCAUCCUGAGGCCUGUGUUGACAUUCCAACCCUGUUUGGUGUCCUUUGUGAGGUUCGUGUCCUCCAAGCAACACUAAAACUUCAUCUAUAGGACCCUGUGUGAGACCCCAGGAAUAGCAGUACUUUGAAGAAUAGUCCAGGUAUAAAUAAGAAGUGUGAGUUCCAGAGGCCAUAGUCACUUAGCCAGUCAGAGCAAGGCUGGACCCACGCAAUUUGAUUCUCCAUCCAGUUUAGCAUACUCCAGGGGUGGCUCUAUUCCUCUUGGCAUCUAGCCCUUGCUGUCAUCCUGGGCCCACCCUCUUUCUGCAGUCCGCUGUUCGAGAUUAACAUGGUGAUGAUGUGCCAGGUGUCAAAUGUUUAGCACUGGGUUAACUUCUAGGUGAGAGCUCCGAAGGUGAGACGUCCAUGAUGCAAGCUGGAUUGUGGUCUGCACCUUCUUGAAACCAGCCAAGACCACUUAGCUCCACCCCACCCCUUCACUGAGGGGGCAUGAGGGAGAAGGCCCAGGUCAAGCCUACUGAAGGCUUCCUCAGCCCAAGAUUGGCUGAUGUUUCCUAUUGCAGAAUGUCUUAGAGGCCAAGGGUUUGAAGUUCCUGAACUUAGGCACACCCAGGCUGGGAGGGAGGUGGAUCCUGCUUGAUACACAUGCUCUAGCUGUGACCAGCAAUGCAGUCAAAAGUUUCCUCCCUCUGUUGCACAGUGCAUUCCCCCUUGUGGCCAGAUACUAGGCACAGAUUCUUCCCUGUUGUAUUUCAAAUCUCUGCUGAGGAUUCCUUAUCCUUGAGUUCCAGACAGGUCUGAUCAUUCUGAGCUCUGGUUCUGAGUCUCUGGAUUCCCGUGAAUUAUAUUUUAGCAGCCACUGCUGACUCCAGACUUCAGCUACCUCACUUUAAGCAACAAUGUUAUCUUGUUCACACACAGCAAAAUUCAAAUGAGCGUGUGUGCAUGUGUGGAUGUGUGUGUGUGUGUGUGUUCGCUUCUUCCAAUGACGUGGGCGGGACUUGCAGACAUUGCAGCAAUGCAGACUUAGCAUCCUACUCAUAGAACGUGCUUCUCAAACAAUACAAAGGAAUCUCCACUCACCUUUCACUCCAUGUGGUUCCUGUCUCCCUUUCUUGGGACAAACCAGAUGCAUUUAUGGUCUCUCACUAUCGCCAUUCCUCUUUUCGAUAUUACCUUUUACUGUAGGUGGCUUAUUAAAGGGUUUUCCUAAACAAAGAUGGCUCCCUCCUCAAGGGGAGCUUGAGUGCUGUGUCUCUUAAGGUGAUAGAUUUCUCACUCCCACAUCACUCGGGAGGCAUCACAGCAACCGCAUUCACUCCUAGCUGUCAAGGGCAUACCUCAUGGAAGGCACUGUGGACUAAAGUGAUGGCAGCAGUUAGAUCCAGUUCAAUUCCUGUCUUAGAUCACUUCAAGCUUAGGCGACCUAGGGACAGUCACUUCAUCUCUCUAAAUCUUAGCUUUGUCACCUCUAAACACAGUCCUGAAUGUGAAGCACUUAACUGCAUGCCAGGCUUUCCAAGGGUUCCUGUCCCCUUGCCUCCCCCUCCCACACACCCCCCAGCAGUCACCACAGCUCCUUCCUGUGACUGGCUCAGUGCCAAGGGACAAAAGCUGGCAGACAGCAGCUUUACAGCUGGGAGAGGGAGACGCUGGGGGUAGGGCUGGCAGCUGCUCAAGCAUGCUGUGGUUUGGGCUUAAUGACUGAAAAGGUCCCAUCCAUCCUGGAGAGUCUGAUGCUGUGCUGUAUUUGGCUUAGGAAGAUCCUGACGGAAAGGCAGCCUGGGAUAACUGACAAGCAGCAGACCUUGGAUUAUUGAGCACCUGGGUUUUUUGGCUCUUCCUGUGUUAGGUUUGCUGGCUUUGCAGUAAAUGGAAAGAGGAGAUGCAGGGGACUUGAAUUAAACCCGUCAAACAGAGGGUGAGGGGUGUGCAGAAGGCUGGGGGGCUGUGCAGGGAACUCAUAGUCCGACAGCACCAUCUGGACUUGGCAGGGAUGGCAGCCCUGAAAAGCGGGUUGGAAUUAGCCAAUAAAACAGCUCAAAAUCUGCUCUCCUGGGCCUGGCCAGAGUGGGACCUCCAGAAUCUCCUAUUUAGAAGGAACACUCAUCUCCUGUAGGGGGAGAGCCAGAACCCUUACUCUACAGAGCUAAUAAAGAUCUUUGUGGAGGGGCCAGCAAGUGGCAUGG
Molecule: RNA transcript, 7464 nt
Organism: Tupaia belangeri chinensis (Chinese tree shrew)
Lineage: Eukaryota; Metazoa; Chordata; Mammalia; Scandentia; Tupaiidae
Gene: RIMKLA
Gene name: ribosomal modification protein rimK like family member A
Exons: 6
Source: RefSeq, a predicted model, not a curated record